GACGAACGCUGGCGGCGUGCUUAACACAUGCAAGUCGAACGGAAAGGCCUCUUUCGGGGGGUACUCGAGUGGCGAACGGGUGAGUAACACGUGAGUAACCUGCCCUUGACUUUGGGAUAACUUCAGGAAACUGGGGCUAAUACCGGAUAGGAGCUCCUGCUGCAUGGUGGGGGUUGGAAAGUUUCGGCGGUUGGGGAUGGACUCGCGGCUUACCAGCUUGUUGGUGGGGUAGUGGCUUACCAAGGCUUUGACGGGUAGCCGGCCUGAGAGGGUGACCGGCCACAUUGGGACUGAGAUACGGCCCAGACGCCGACGGGAGGCAGCAGUGGGGAAUAUUGCACAAUGGGUGGAAGCCGGAUGCAGCAACGCCGUGUGCGGGAGGACGGCCUUCGGGUUGUAAACCGCUUUCGCUCAUGACGAAGCUUUGUGUGACGGUAGUGGGUAAAGAAGCACCGGCUAACUACGUG
This 467-nucleotide ribosomal RNA is filed under the name uncultured bacterium. RNAcentral describes it as "partial 16S ribosomal RNA". It matches the Rfam family "Bacterial small subunit ribosomal RNA", at positions 28 to 507 of the family's 1533-position model. The record is from RNAcentral.